Long non-coding RNA from Hyla sarda, 411 nucleotides. RefSeq lists it as uncharacterized. The record is from RefSeq and is a predicted model, not a curated record. NCBI's taxonomy places the organism in Eukaryota, Metazoa, Chordata, Amphibia, Anura, Hylidae. The transcript has 3 exons.
AAUAAUAUGAGGAUGGACAGGAAGAUGCCAUCUGGACCUGACAGUAGUGUGGAGCAGUCAGUUACAUCACCAAGAUAACGUCUGGCCGCAGCAUUUUUUGGCCAAAAAGACACCAUGCUGCAGAAUUGGCAUUUUUCUUGCCUUACAUGCACCCCUAAAUGAAAAAAGACAAGCCACUAUAUGGUCAAGUUAACAGACAUUUUCUUUCAAUAUAAGAAUUUAAGGGUAAAGCUGAACUCCCUCUGUUCCUCAGAAUGGCAGCCUGGCAAGCUCUGUAUACAAGCCCAUUUCUGAUUGCUAGGAAUCAAGCGUGGAAUUCGCUGGUUGUUGUACAGUUGCCUUGGCAAGAUGACCGCUCAGCAUAGGCGGCUUCUCUCCAUGCUGGAAGUUCAUUUUCACAGGUACAAGCUA